Molecule: long non-coding RNA, 898 nt
Organism: Brachypodium distachyon (stiff brome)
Lineage: Eukaryota; Viridiplantae; Streptophyta; Magnoliopsida; Poales; Poaceae
Exons: 2
Source: RefSeq, a predicted model, not a curated record
AAGAAGAAGAAAUUGGAAAGGGGAACUACGAGAUGGGCCGAAAAUGUCAUCGUUCCUGGUCUCCACUAAGCCCAGUAGUCGAGGCUCAAUGGUCUAACCUAACCGGGCUGGGCUGCACCGACACAGCGCGACUCGCUCGAGGAACAGAACUCGUACAGUAGAGGAGUGUCUCUCCUUCCCCGCGCCGGAUCCACGCCGCCGUCGUCUCUCUCGCCGACGCGAUGCAGGUAUGCCCGCCGGCGUCGGAGUCUUCGGGCUGGGGGAGCCGCGCGUAGGUGCUACACGGGCUGGCCCUGGGUCUCGGCGGCGGCGGCCGCCUACCUGUACCGGAGGCCGCGCAGGUUCCGCACCCUGGCGGUGGCCGGCGUGCAUCAUACAGGCGCGGCACGCCUCCUCCCGCUUCGAGGGCAAGCCGCUCGCCUCAUCCUCGGCAAGCCCAUGAUACAGCACUUCUUUUUCGGGCCGCCGCCGCCGACUCAACUGUCCGUGCAGAACCUCCCUGCGGUGACCGCUCUCGAUAUGCGUCGGCGUCGGAUUAGAUUAUCGUGCAAGAGACGAGCAAAGGGGUUCAGGGCUGAUCGGCACUAUCCACCGUUUCUCGUGCACUGCACCACCGCGUGCUCUGACGCCAGCCACGUCCGUGGCCGCGGCUGCUAGCAUCGGCUCCGAGAUCAUUUUGAUUGAAUGUCUAAUUAUAUUGUUAUGUUUUGUAUAAACAUGAAUUUAACGCACGGGCCUGUGCUAGUCUUUUUUAAAACAAACAAGUUUAUUGGCUCUCGAUCGAUCGAACGAUCGAUGUUGACCGACUGUUUUGCUUGUUGGUCCAUACAUAUCAACCACCAGAACGAACAAGCCUGCUGGCUCUCUGUAUACACUCACCUACUGCCUUGCUUCUUGA